RNAcentral lists this ribosomal RNA (399 nucleotides) under uncultured bacterium. RNAcentral describes it as "bacterial SSU rRNA". It matches the Rfam family "Bacterial small subunit ribosomal RNA", at positions 30 to 429 of the family's 1533-position model. The record is from RNAcentral.
AUUGAACGCUGGCGGCAUGCCUUACACAUGCAAGUCGAACGGCAGCGACGGGACGCUUGCUCCUGGUGGCGAGUGGCGAACGGGUGAGUAAUACAUCGGAACGUACCCUGAAGUGGGGGAUAACGUAGCGAAAGUUACGCUAAUACCGCAUAUUCUGUGAGCAGGAAAGAGGGGGAUCGCAAGACCUCUUGCUUUAGGAGCGGCCGAUGUCGGAUUAGCUAGUUGGUGAGGUAAAGGCUCACCAAGGCGACGAUCCGUAGCGGGUCUGAGAGGAUGAUCCGCCACACUGGGACUGAGACACGGCCCAGACUCCUACGGGAGGCAGCAGUGGGGAAUUUUGGACAAUGGGCGCAAGCCUGAUCCAGCCAUGCCGCGUGAGUGAAGAAGGCCUGGUGUAAG